ACGAUCGAUAAAACAGGUAUCGAUCGUUGUUAUCGAUCGUUUAUGGUGGUUAAUGGUCUGCGAAAAGGCAGCUGAAUCUCUUCAUCAUGCAGAACGGAAUUGCACACAACGGACUGAUACUUCUCUGGCGGAUGAGAGAGGGGAAGCAUUUAUGUCCGGGAAAAACCACUUUAUCUGACCAUGCUGUUUUGUACCUGCCGGUAUCCACAUUUGUGGGUACCGGCUUUUUUAUUCACC
Molecule: small RNA, 237 nt
Filed under: Escherichia coli
Lineage: Bacteria; Pseudomonadati; Pseudomonadota; Gammaproteobacteria; Enterobacterales; Enterobacteriaceae
Description: IS102
Rfam family: IS102 RNA
About the family: This family consists of a group of Shigella flexneri and Escherichia coli RNA genes which are 208 bases in length and are found between the yeeP and flu genes. The function of this RNA is unknown.
Source: RNAcentral